RNAcentral lists this ribosomal RNA (253 nucleotides) under uncultured bacterium. RNAcentral describes it as "partial 16S ribosomal RNA". It matches the Rfam family "Bacterial small subunit ribosomal RNA", at positions 524 to 776 of the family's 1533-position model. The record is from RNAcentral.
UACGUAGGGGGCAAGCGUUGUCCGGAAUCAUUGGGCGUAAAGAGCGUGUAGGCGGUCCGUUAAGUCGGCUGUGAAAGUCCAGGGCUCAACCCUGGGAUGCCGGCCGAUACUGGCGGACUAGAGUCCGGAAGAGGUGAGUGGAAUUCCUGGUGUAGCGGUGAAAUGCGCAGAUAUCAGGAGGAACACCGGUGGCGAAGGCGGGUCUCUGGGCCGAUAUUGACGCUGAGGAGCGAAAGCGUGGGGAGCGAACAGG